RNAcentral lists this long non-coding RNA (9738 nucleotides) under Trifolium pratense (red clover). Its description in RNAcentral is "long non-coding RNA (TPRA_LNC006175)". Lineage: Eukaryota; Viridiplantae; Streptophyta; Magnoliopsida; Fabales; Fabaceae. The record is from RNAcentral.
UUGAAAAAGGUUAUGAGACAGAGUUAGAUAAUAUAAGACUAACGAUAAAAGUAAGAGUUCAAGAUGAUAAAAGUAGGUUAAGUAAUUUUGAAUCCCUUCCCUUUCCCUACUUGGUAACCUGUUAUUAUAUUUCACAAUUCAAAUUAAGUCUCAUUCAUCACGAUGAAUUAACCCUUAGGUGGUAAUGAUCACUCCCGUGUUUUAUUACCCUAUUCACUAUUAACAACUUUGUAAUCCCUUAGGUGAGAUGAAAUCAUUAAAGAACGUUAAUUUAAAAGUCACAACUCCAAACUACGUAUCCCUACAAUAGCCGCAAGUUACGUAUCCCUACAAUAGCCGCAAGUUAUGUAUCCCUACAAUAACUUUGUUGAAUAAUAAUCGUCAAUUUGAAUAUCAAAAGAAUCUCCCGAAAAUAAUCGAUAUCUAAAUCAAUUUCAACAAUAUGUAUACUAAUGAAAAGCAUUAAACAUAGACGAUAAUCAAAUGAUUAAUAAAGAAUGAAUUGCAAUAAUAUAAUAACCAAUUACACGGAUCAAGUAGUUCUAAGGAAGUUCAUCUACUAAACCUAACCUAAAGAGAUUUAGUUGUUAUUAAGCAUAUUGAACAAUAAAGAAAACAUGCAUAAAAAUAACCUCGAUUCCUUGCGGAGGAAGUUUCGUCUCCCGAUGGUGGGCGAGUGUCUCAUUCAUUUGAGAGCUCCUUAGCCCUCCUUGCUCUUCCUUCUUUGCUCCUUAGAGAGCUUAUAGUUUUCUGAACUUCUGAAUGAAUAAUUGUGAAGGAGGAAAGCUCUAUUUAUAGUUUUUUGGACUUGGGCUCCAAGUUACAUCGUAGUACGAUGUAGUCCAUCGUAGCAUGAUGAUGAUGUCAGAAUUGGAUUUUCGCUUCAACAUGAAAGUUGUAGCUCUUUGUCUUAUCAUUCCAACGCAUGGUCACGGGCGUCGAUCCGAUACUCAUAGCUCCAGUUAUGGCUUUUUUUCAACGAUGUGGUAUAUUCAGCGUAUUUCUUCUUUUUUGCCCUUUUCUAUGCAAUUUCUUCAACUCUUGUUUCUUGAUCAAGUAACUUCAUUCCUGUGGUAUUUUUCAUGCUUUGGCUNNNNNNNNNNNNNNNNNUGUUAUUCUUAACAUGGUAUCAUGAAACCAAUCAUGAUUCUUUAAUUAAAUUUUUUAGGAUGUUUUGUGUUAAGUUUUUCUCUUAAUGACUUAUAUUUAUGACUUUGAUUUGUUUAGAAGGUUCGUGGUGGAAGAGUUGUGCCGUACCCUAUUGUGAGUCUUCCCUCAGAAUUUGAUCAUGUGGAAAAGGGAGACAGUGACAAUAUUUGUCUUUAAUUAAUUUCUUGCAUUUUGAACUAGUUUUUUCAUAGGGGUUGCAGGGGUAGUGCAAGCAUGUUCAUGUUAAGAACAUAUAAAUACACUUAUUGAUCAAAAUGGAAACCAAUUUGAAGUUUUAGCGGCAAUAUAUAUUUAACACAUAGAUGGUAUGCGUUGUGUGAUAUUUAUAAUAUUUGGUAUGGUGUUUAGGUGAUUUUGUUAUACAAUGUGAUUAGUCAGUUUUGACUGAUUUUGAAGGACAUAUUUGAUUGUUUUAUUCAUUUCUCCUAAGUUAACUUCUCUAUUGAAAUUUAAUUUGGAUAAAUUUAAUGUUCCAUCAUAUUUUACUGAUGAUUUGCCAAAAUCAACUGACCUCCUAUCAUUUCCUCAAAAUGUGGCUCCAAUCUUGCGUUAAAAUUUUAAAAGAAAUUGACUGAAUAUGAUGUGAAAACCAGAUUUUGGGUGAUUUUUUUUUAGAUUUUUAUCAUUUUUUUAAUUUAUUUAUUUACAAACAUUUGUUUAUAUAUAUAUAUAAAUGGUGGAAUAUAAUGGUUUUGGUCAAUUAACAUUUGAUAGGAAAAAAACUCCUUUGAUGUUUGUUAAUGAUAACGACAACAAAUGGAACUGCAUUCUUAUUUUUGGAUUUGUGCCAUUUAUCACUGCAAAAUUGGCGGUGAGUGGAAGCGUUAUUAGGUUGCGGCACAGAGACUACAGGAGGGUCAAAGUAUUCAGUUUGGGGUUCCUAAAGUUUUCAAUAAUCAAACUGCCUAUUUUAUUCUUAAACGUUAAAACCAUGUUUUUUUCUAUUAGGAAACCUAAAACAACGGUUAUCUUCCAGGCGUUCCUGUUGGUAAAAAAAACUGUUGCGAUAGGCUAAGACAAUGCCCCAACGGCCUGAAAACUGUUCUCGUAGCCUGUUGGAUCUUCUUAAAUAAAAAUAAUUACAAUAGACCUUAUAAAAAAUAAAUAAAUAAGUUAAAUAUUUAAGGCCAAGGGUUGAACUUUAGUUUUAAUAAUUUAAGGUCUCANNNNNNNNNNNNNNNNNNNNNNNNNNNNNNNNNNNNNNNNAAAUUUACUUAAAAUUUAAAUAUCAUAUUUUAUAUUUAUAAAUAAAUGAAACUUUUUUAUGCUUACUUCAGAUGAAAUUGUAGUUCUCUCAACCCUGUAGUUCUUUUGCUACCUACCUUUUCUUCCUUUACUGGUCGUGUGCUAUUUCUAAUAUUAGGGGUUGAUUUUCAUCUUUUUCAUACUCAUUCAUCUCUUUACGUGGAAAUAGUAGUCUCUUUUGAUUAUUUACUAUGUUGGUUAGGCUCUGUACCUUUAAUUUUACCACACAGCAUGGAGUCUUUUUUUUUUUNNNNNNNNNNNNNNNNNNNNNNNNNNNNNNNNNNNNNNNNNNNNNNCAAAUAUAUAUAAAAUAACGGAAGUCAAAUAGAAUUAGAGUUAUGGGUUCGAACCCGUCAUUUCACCUUGUGUAUGUGAGUUUCCAAUGGCUUACCAUUUCAUCUAUCUAAAAAAAUUUAGAGUUAUGGGCAUCAAAGUAAAAAAAUAUUCAAUGGUUAAUCAUCCAAUAUUAAGAUUGAAGAAGAUCAUUUCAUUACCAACAUUUUAAAGAUAAAAAUACAAUUAUUAGUUGCUACCAGUUGAAGAAGAUCAUUUAAUUUAAUUUCAUUGCCAACAUUUUAAAAAUAAAAAUACAAUUUUAUUUGCUACUUUUUUUUUAUUGAAAAAGAAAUAGAGACAAGAGUCAAGAGAAAAAAAAAAUAGAAGCCAAGCAUCACCGAAAAUAAGUACCAAAAAUACUAAAAAGAAAAUAAAUAAAAAUAACAACAAGCCACAAACACCAAAAUCCGGCAAUCAAUAGGAGCACCGGAGACACACCUAAGCACGAAAAACAACCUGCACCAAAAUUAAAAACGGUAAUAGAGAAAAGAAGGUCGGAAAGAAAUACAAAGAACGUACAAUUAACACACGAGUCCGAGAAAACGGAGCCCAACACCAACACCCCAAUAAUUAUUAGUUGUUACCGGUACGGAAGAACUCUUUUAGAACACAAACGCCACUUUGGCAUUCUAAAUACUGAUCAAAUUGAACUUUUUUAUCAAGAUAGAUUAUAUAACAAUCUAUAGCAGUUUGACAUUGUUUGGAAACGUAGGGAAGUUCGAAUGAUAUUAUCUUAUUUGGAUAACGGGUAGAUGUUGGAAUGUAAUUUGCAUUAUUGUCAACCGUCAUUGUAGUAAGAAAUAGAGUAAGAAAUAAAAUUAGAGCAGAAACAAACUUGAGAGAUUUAGUCAUUCUCUCUUUCUUCUCUCUGUAUGUAAAAAAUAGAACGCAAUUUGAUCAAUUUAUAGUGUAUUGAUCUCAGCAACACUUAGGUUGAUCAAUUUACUAUAAAAAAAAUAAAUAAAAAACUUAAUUAAAGUUGAUCAAUGGAUAGUUUUUGCCCCUUUAGAGGGCUUAGUAAAUAUCUCUCACAAAUUUUUUUAAAUAAAUUGUUUCUCUUUUUCUUCAUAGCCGCCGCCUCCCCACCUUAACCUAGUUUUUUUCUUCUUCUUGAUCUAUCAAGGAGGGGUGGUUUUAGCGUCAAUUUUUGACCCAAAAUCACCUUUCAUAAUUGUUUUUCAUUUUCUUCUUUAUUUAAAUAAGUGAUCUUCACAUUGAUCAAAUUUUUCUUUUGUGUUUUCUUUUUUGUGAUUUUGCCGUCUGAGUGCGGCGUUGUGUUGUUCGUCGUCUUGUGUGACGUUUUUGUUGUCUCGUAUUGUGCGUUGUUCAUUUGAUUUUUAUUGAAAAGAUCGGCGUCAGUCAAUUACAAAUUCAACCAAUGAUUUGGGCUUCAAUGCUGCAGAUCCGGAAGCAUGGAUACUUCGGGGACUUUAACUUUAUCAUAUUNNNNNNNNNNNNNNNNNNNNNNNNNNNNNNNNUGAUUAUGUGGUUGUAUUUGAUGUAAUCUAUCAAUUUGAAUGAAUGAAUAUCAUUUUGUUAUUGUCAAAAAAAAAAAAAAUUAACUAGUUUAAAAAAAAUUAUUUGAAAUUUAAGUCAAAAAUCUUAUUUGGGUCAAAAAAAAAAUUAAGUAGUUUAAAGACAAUUGACUUUUAUUCUAUAUUUAAGNNNNNNNNNNNNNNNNNNNNNNNNNNNNNNNNNNNNNNNNNNNNNNNNNNNNNNNNNNNNNNNNNNNNNNNNNNNNNNNNNNNNNNNNNNNNNNNNNNNNNNNNNNNNNNNNNNNNNNNNNNNNNNNNNNNNNNNNNNNNNNNNNNNNNNNNNNNNNNNNNCAAUUUGAAUGAAUGAAUAUCAUUUUGUUAUUGUCAAAAAAAAAAAAAAUUUACUAGUUUAAAAAAAAUUAUUUGAAAUUUAAGUCAAAAAUCUUAUUUGGGUCAAAAAAAAAUUAAGUAGUUUAAAGACAAUUGACUUUUAUUCUAUAUUUAAGUUUGUCAUUAUAUUAAGGUAGAGAAUUCAUUUAGAAUUAAAUAUUUUAAAAUUGUUAUAUAAUAUUGUUAAAAUAUAAGUAGAAUUAUUGAAAUGUUGUAACUUCGUACCAAUUAAAUAUUUUUAGCACCGAUCAAUCGGUUGUAUUAUUUGCCCCUUGAGAAUGCUUAGUAAAUGUCUCUUCAUGUGAGCAUUGUGUUGAGUUUGUCCCUUAAACCCACUUACCAGUGAACAGAACGAGUAACAUAAAAAAUUUCGAAUCAUCAUUAACAUUUUUUAUCUCUACUUUUAAAUCAAUUCAUGUAUAAUUUUCAAAAUUUUGAAUUUUUUUUUUGGACAUAUUUAUUAUAUUAUAGAAAUCUCUUAUAAAAGUUUAACAUUAUUUAACACAUAGGAUAAAAUAAAUAAAAAUAAUAAUUAAGUUUUUGGCCUUUAAAAAUUCAUAUUUAGUUUAUAUUUUGUUAAAAAGUUAAUUCUUUUUGUAGGAGAAAUUUUUAUAAUAUUAUAAACAUCAAUAAAAGCACUCAUUCAAAAAUAUUAAGAGUACACAUGAGUUGAGUUAAAAUCUUCCUAAUCCUAGAAAAUUUUACCAAGUUUCUUCGAUUAGUCCCCAACGGCCACAUAAAUUGACAGCCUUGCAAAUGCACGAAAUUUUCAUUAUAAUAAAAAGAGUAUCGAUCCACAUAAACUAAGAAGAAACAAUUUUAAAAUGAGUAGUGCUAUAUGUCCCGAGAAAGUACCUCCCGAAAAAUCACGAAUACAAUUUAUCUUUUAUUCUUUUCCGUUUAAAUAUUAAAAAAAAAAAAAAAAAAAAAACCCCCCNCAAUUCAAAAACACCAUUGAACUUAACUCUAAUCUCACAGACCUCAAUUUUUUCGAUGACAAUGUGGCUACCAUGAAAUCAUCACCGGCGAUGAUGUGGUUGUUGAUGCAUAAUAUAAUAUGGAUCAUAUCCAUUCUUUGAAGAUGAGAAACUGGACUUUAAUCAGGAAAACAAAUAGAGACAAAAACUGAAGUUUUGAGUUUUAAAAAAAAAAACAAGUAAAAGAAAAAAGAGAGAGAAACUAGACAAGUCGGUGGCCGACAAGGCACUACAAAUCCUAGCCACGUUAAUGACAGUCAAUUAUAUGAUGUUUUUAGUAGUAAUUUAGGAUAGUUUUAAUAGUAAUUGAAGCCCUAGGAAAAGUGAAGUUACAAGACUCAGAAGCAAGAAAAGUGGAAAAAGGGCAAAAAUGUAAUAUGGCAACGCAACAAUCGUACCCACGAUGAGUCUCAGCGUGGCGCGAUGAGACGGCGAUUAAAUUGAAGAAUAUCUGCAGAAAAUCUUUUCCAUCGUGGCACGAUGGCUUGUCAUUGUGGCACCAUGAUGACUUGAAGAAUAUGCAGAAAAUCCUGAGAAGAUCUUCCAUCGCACCACGAUGGGUGCGAUGGAUGCGCAGAAAAAGCUUAAACCCAGCUGAAAAACUAUAAAUAGAGCCUCCUUCCUUCACUAUUAUUCAUCCCAAAAUAUUCAGAAAUAUUAAGAGCUGUUCAAUAUUCACUAUAGAGUAGGAGAACUCUAAGGAGAAGGCAAGGAGGUCAAGGAACUCCAAGCCUAACAAAGUUCUUUUCUUUCUGCUUUUUGUAAUUUAUUUUUCCUAGGUUAGGUGGAGUCGAGGAACUCCCUUACAAAUGCUUGGUUGUAUAAUUUAUAUUAUUUGGGUAUAAAUUCGGUUAUUUCUACAAUAAACUCUUUUAUUGUCCGGUUUUAUAUUUAUUUUAAUAUUGAUCACAUUAGAAUAAAAUCUAAGGACCUAGUGGAUAUCGCAUAGGAAACGAAGCUAGUAAUCCCGAACGAAAAAUGGUAUGCUAGGGCCAACAUGAGACCAUUAAAUUCAGUAUCUGAGGUCUUAGUAUAAGAUUAGAACGCACAAUAACUUCUACCUUAACACAGUGCAUUUGCACGCCUCAGUCAUCAAAACAACCCAAAUUUAUUAUUCACUAUGUAAGUGUUUAAUUAUUUUGUGACGUGCUUUUUAAGUAAGUUAAUAACUUUAGUUAUUUAUCGAAUACUUUAGUUAUUAAGCGAGUAGUGAGUUAACGCGUGUUGGAUCAAGUUAUUGGGCUUGAGGCCCAAUGGGCCUUGUGGACUUGUGAGGGGGCGCCAUAUGGCCUAAGAGGGAGAGGGAACAUUUCAUUUUCUCAUGUUCUUGUGAGAGGUUAGAGAGAAGGAAGAGAAGAGGAGCUAGGGCAUAGAGAAAGGGGAGAAUGUCGAUUUCUCCUUACCCGAACUUUCUCCAUCCCAUUUUCGUUUUAGUUUAUAUGAGUUUUUCUUAAUGAAAAUCGAAUAUAAGGUUCAUAACAUGUUUAACAUGCUCUUGUCAUGAUGUAUGAACGAAUUUAAUGGAUAAAAACGGAAUUUAUAGAUGAUUAAACUCAAGAACAUUGUGUUUUUGUGAGUUUUGAGUAAAAGUAUUAAAUCUUUACUUUUUCGAUGUAUAUGUUGUAGAUCGGUGAAAUAAUCCGUCCUUUUGUGUUUGGAUAUGUUUGUUGCACUUGAAUAUAAACUUAUUUGGGGUUUAUAUCAUGAAAAAUGGGAUUUUUGGGUGAAAAACGCAAGGUUUGAGCAUUCCUGACAGAAGGCCUUCGCCACUGCUCGCCAGGAGCAAGUGUUCCACUGGUGCUCACCAGGCCUUCGCUCAGCGAACAGGGCAGGUUCGCCACGGCUCGCCACCGUUCUCUCAGCGAACAGCACUGGACAACAACUUUUUAUUAAUCGUUUUAAGUGCACUAGGGCAUCUUUCGAGACCAUCUUGGUAUUUUUUUAGGUGUAUUUUCAGCUAAUAUUGGUGUUGCAACCUCUCUUUAUGCUGAAAUUUGCGCUGCAAUUUAUGCUAUUGAAUUUGCUUCUGCUAAAGGAUGGACCCAUCUUUGGCUUGAAUGUGACUCUAUCCUCUUAGUUCAAGCUUUUACUAUUGUGAAUAUGGUCCCUUGGAAGCUGAAGGUUAAAUGGAAAAAUUGUCUUCAUAUCGUUAAAAAAUUUCGUUUUAGAUUUUCUCAUAUUUAUAGAAAAGGAAAUACUUGUGCAGACAGAUUAGCUAAUGCUGGUUUUUUUGUUGAUGGGUUAGUCUGGUGGGACCAAUUACCAAGUUGCUCUAGAGAGAGUUUCUUUAGAGAUAGAGUUAGUUUGUCUAAUUAUCGCUUUCGCUAAUUUUGUUUUGGUGGGUUUGGUUUAUGCCCCACCACCCUUUCUUUUGUUUUUCAUUUUAAUAAUACUUUUUGUGAGAUGGUAGAGGAGUGGUAGUGCAUUGAGGUGCCAACAUAGUUGGGAUGUCGAUGACUUACUAUGAUGUCAUGCUCUCCAUUUUUGCUUUAAAAAAAAAUAAUAAUUGUCUAUUUUAUUCUUAAACGUUAAAACCAUGUUUUUUUCUAUUAGGAAACCUAAAACAACAGUUAUCUUCCAGGCGUUGGUGUUGGUAAAAAAAUUGUUGCGAUAGGCUAAGACAAUGCCCCAACGGCCUGAAAACUGUUCUCGUAGCCUAUUGGAUCUUCUUAAAUAAAAAUAAUUACAAUAGACCUUAUAAAAAAUAAAUAAAUAAGUUAAAUAUUUAAGGCGAAGGGUUGAACUUUAGUUUUAAUAAUUUAAGGUCUCGAGUUUAACAAUUAAAUUAAAAAUAUACUUAAAAUUUAAAUAUCAUAUUUUAUAUUUAUAAAUAAAUAAAACUUUUUUAUGCUUACUUCAGAUGAAAUUGUAGUUCUCUCAACCCUGUAGUUCUUUUGCUACCUACCCUUUCUUCCUUUACUGGUCGUGUGCUAUUUCUAAUAUUAGGGGUUGAUUUUCAUCUUUUUCAUACUCAUCUCUUUACGUGGAGAUAGUAGUCUCUUUUGAUUAUUUACUAUGUUGGUUAGGCUCUGUACCUUUAAUUUUACCACACAGAAUGGAGUCCUUUUUUUUUAAUGGCAAAUAUAUAUAUAUAAAAUAAUGGAAGUCAAAUAGAAUUAGAGUUAUGGGUUCGGACCCGUCAUUUCAUCUUGUGUAUGUGAGUUUUCAAUAGCUUAUCAUUUCAUCUAUCUAGAAAAAAUUAGAGUUAUGGGCAUCAAAGUAAAAAAACAUUCAAUGGUUAAUCAUCCAAUAUUAAGAGAGAAGAAGAUCAUUUCAUUACCAACAUUUUAAAGAUAAAAAUACAAUUAUUAGUUGCUACUAGUAGAAGAAGAUCAUUUAAUUUAAUUUCAUUGCCAACAUUUUAAAAAUAAAAAUACAAUUUUGUUUGCUACUUUUUUUUUUUAUUGAAAAAGAAAUAGAGACAAGAGUCAAGAGAAAAAAAAUAGAAGCCAUGCAUCAUCGAAAAUAAGUACCAAAAGUACUAAAAAGAAAAUAAAUAAAAAUAACAACACGCCACAAACACCAAAAUCCGACUAUCAACAGGAGCACCGGAGACACACCUAAGCACGAAAAACAACCUGCACCAAAAUUAAAAACGGUAAUAGAGAAAAGAAGGUCGGAAAGAAAUACAAAGAACAAUUAACUCACGAGUCCGAGAAAACGGAACCCAACACCAACACCCCAAUAAUUAUUAGUUGCUACCGGUAGAACUCUUUCCUGCAUAUAUGGUAAUGAGAACACAAAUGCCACUUUAGAAGUUUUUUAUCAUGAUAGAUUCUAUAACAAUCUAUAUCAGAUUCACAUUCUUUGUAACCGUUGGGAAUGUAAUUUGCAUUAUUGUCAACCGUCAUUGUAGUAAGAAAUAAAAUUAGAGCAGAAACAAACUUGAGAGAUUUAGUCAUUCUUUCUUUCUUCUCUCUGUAUGUAAAAAAUAGAACGCAAUUUGAUCAAUUUAUAUUGUAUUGACCUCAGCAACACUUAGGUUGAUCAAUUUACUAUAAAAAAAAAAGAAAAAAUAAAAACUUAAUUAAAGUUGAUCAAUGGAUAGUUUUUGCCCCUUUAGAGGGCUUAGUAAAUAUCUCUCACAAGAUUUACAUUUCAUAAUUAACUAGUUUAAAAAAAAUUAUUUGAAAUUUAAGUCAAAA